RNAcentral lists this ribosomal RNA (438 nucleotides) under uncultured bacterium. Its description in RNAcentral is "bacterial SSU rRNA". It matches the Rfam family "Bacterial small subunit ribosomal RNA", at positions 957 to 1393 of the family's 1533-position model. The record is from RNAcentral.
UAACGCGAAGAACCUUACCAAGGCUUGACAUGGGCCGGACCGGGCUGGAAACAGUCCUUCCCCUUUGGGGCCGGUUCACAGGUGGUGCAUGGUUGUCGUCAGCUCGUGUCGUGAGAUGUUGGGUUAAGUCCCGCAACGAGCGCAACCCUCGUUCCAUGUUGCCAGCGCGUAAUGGCGGGGACUCAUGGGAGACUGCCGGGGUCAACUCGGAGGAAGGUGGGGACGACGUCAAAUCAUCAUGCCCCUUAUGUCUUGGGCUUCACGCAUGCUACAAUGGCCGGUACAAAGGGUUGCGAUACUGUGAGGUGGAGCUAAUCCCAAAAAGCCGGUCUCAGUUCGGAUAGGGGUCUGCAACUCGACCCCAUGAAGUCGGAGUCGCUAGUAAUCGCAGAUCAGCAACGCUGCGGUGAAUACGUUCCCGGGUCUUGUACACACCGA